UCGAAUUUGCUUGCAUUAUGAAGUGUCAUCACGCUCCAUGUUUCCAAGGGAUUGCAGCUGCUUGCAAGAGGAAGCAGGCGCUCUUCGUUCGCUAGUUUGAUACAAGUGCCACAGUUCACCAGACAGCACUUCAACGUGUUUAGUGCGCUCGCAUUUGGUGUUGGUUUGUAAAAAGCCUUCUACGAAUUGUAAGCUGAAUCGUAAGCGUACUGACGGAAAAUAUAAAAUGAAAGACGAGAAGCGUUCACUCUUUUUUUGUACAGCGUAUCUCAUAUGCCUGCUUAGCUGCCCUUACGUAAGAUUAUGCGCCAUGUAAUGCUUAUAAGGAUUGUGAGAGUGAUACUUUUGAAGUAGUUGCAAUAAAAACCAAAUGUAAAUGAAAAAGGUAUGACUAUAUACACAGCAGGAUAUAUGCAUCUUUAUUUAGGGCAUGAACAGCAAGAAUGAGGUUAGCUCAAGCAACCAACUUUGCAAAAGGCCAAUGGGUGCACAGUCUAGCAGCCUUACGCUUCCUGGAAGACCCUUGUGUAACAUUGCUUGUCACUCACACCAGUCAAACUUGCUUAUUGAAUGAACGUGUCGUAGGCUAGACUGCUCUUCUGUCUGCUGUAUGCUACAAUAACAUGGCAAACAUGCUUUCUGUCUCCCCCGGAUAUAGGAUUACAGCAACAUGCAAGGGUGCAGCCGCCACUCUGGUGCAGUAGUGGUACUGUCCAUAAUGCACUAUCCUUUCAUAAUAGCCCGAAGGUACUAGCCUACACAUGGUGUUAUCGACACUUGGCUUAAUGCACAACCAAGGUCUAUUGAGAAUGUAAUUAAGUUGUACCUCCACCAUCCACACUUGAUGUUGAAAAAUUUCUUCUGCCUACGUACCGUAAUAUCCCGAGCAAGCGCCCCCUCCUUUUUUUCUGGAUAUUUGAAAUAUCUACAAAUGGGACCGAGCAAGUGUUCCCCCCCUGCCUCCCGCCCUUUACACUGCUCCAUUCCGUGUUUUUAUUCGCGUGACAAGGGCUAAUAACGACAGCAAAUGCAUGCCUAUUCAAAAACGCAUUUCAUUGGAAGCACAUGCGGCUCUUCCACCUCCAUAUUGAAUUUUGAUCCGUGACCGAGCAAAGGCCCCCCUCCAAAUCUUGUCCGGUUAUCUUUCACCGUGGGAGUGGUGCUUGCUCCGGAUUUUACGGUAUUGAGUUAAAACUCGAUCUAACGAAGUGGUGAGGACACUUGAAUUAUUUCAUUAAAUCAGGAAGUUCGUAAAAUCGAGAAGGGGAUUUUUUGGCUCUUUGAAAUCUAAAAUUGUAACAUAUAACAACAACCAAAAGCUACCAGGCCAUUGCUCUCGCGAUUAAUCUAAUUGCUGCGCAGGUGAAAAGUCCGUGAGGCCGGCCUGAGGGUGGCUCUGACAUGAGGCUCCCUUGUCGCCUAUGUCCAGGUGAUGCAAGCCAGAAAGACCAUUACAUGAAGCAAUGAUGGGCGAUACAUGGAGAACGAACGAAGUGAUUGUGUGAGCAGGCCAAGUCAGAAAGUUGCAAGGAAGCUAUUAUUGCAACGAAACCAGCCACCGCCGCCUCUAGCACCAUCCGGUGCCCGUGCUGCAAGUUCAGUCGUAAUCCCUGUGGAGGGGGAUCCGACCCCAUGGAGAACGCAGGGGCUGACGAGCUGCGUUUAAGUAUGCUUUGCUGGUGCUUUUAGCUAUUUCAAAAGACACAAGAAGUGGCCCGACAUCACUUGGCCAUAGGCUGCUCUUCCUCAUCUCAAUGAGCAUAGCUCUUGGAAUGCUGGCUCCGCCAAAAAACUAGCCAUAAAGUUCAAAGUAAAGUUUUUAAACCAUGUA
Rhipicephalus sanguineus (brown dog tick) is the source of this 1831-nucleotide long non-coding RNA. RefSeq lists it as uncharacterized. The record is from RefSeq and is a predicted model, not a curated record. Lineage: Eukaryota; Metazoa; Arthropoda; Arachnida; Ixodida; Ixodidae. The transcript has 2 exons.